GUAGUCAUAUGCUUGUCUCAAAGAUUAAGCCAUGCAUGUCUAAGUAUAAGCAAUUAUACAGUGAAACUGCGAAUGGCUCAUUAAAUCAGUUAUCGUUUAUUUGAUAGUACCUUUACUACUUGGAUAACCGUGGUAAUUCUAGAGCUAAUACAUGCUAAAAAUCCCGACUGUUUGGAAGGGAUGUAUUUAUUAGAUAAAAAACCAAUGCACUUCGGUGCUCUUUGGUGGUUCAUAAUAACUUCUCGAAUCGCAAGGCUUCAUGCUGGCGAUGGUUCAUUCAAAUUUCUGCCCUAUCAACUUUCGAUGGUAGGAUAGUGGCCUACCAUGGUUUCAACGGGUAACGGGGAAU
Molecule: ribosomal RNA, 349 nt
Filed under: Saccharomycopsis fibuligera
Lineage: Eukaryota; Fungi; Ascomycota; Saccharomycetes; Ascoideales; Saccharomycopsidaceae
Description: SSU rRNA
Rfam family: Eukaryotic small subunit ribosomal RNA
Source: RNAcentral